CCUACGGGAGGCAGCAGUGGGGAAUAUUGGACAAUGGGCGGAAGCCUGAUCCAGCCAUGCCGCGUGUGUGAAGAAGGCCUUUUGGUUGUAAAGCACUUUAAGCGAGGAGGAGGCUACUAGUAUUAAUACUACUGGAUAGUGGACGUUACUCGCAGAAUAAGCACCGGCUAACUCUGUGCCAGCAGCCGCGGUAAUACAGAGGGUGCGAGCGUUAAUCGGAUUUACUGGGCGUAAAGCGUGCGUAGGCGGCUGAUUAAGUCGGAUGUGAAAUCCCUGAGCUUAACUUAGGAAUUGCAUUCGAUACUGGUCAGCUAGAGUAUGGGAGAGGAUGGUAGAAUUCCAGGUGUAGCGGUGAAAUGCGUAGAGAUCUGGAGGAAUACCGAUGGCGAAGGCAGCCAUCUGGCCUAAUACUGACGCUGAGGUACGAAAGCAGNGGAGACAACAGAUAGAUACCUACGUAGUCAUGCGUAACGAUGUCUACUACGUCCGGUUCGGGUUCCGGUUCGUAGUACGUUUAGUUGGUCGGCGAGACGUAACCGUACGAGUUAAAGUUAAGUACCGCCGUUCGGGGUAGGGUUACGGGUUCGGCGAGAACGUUAAACCGUUACGAAAGGAAGUUAGACGGCGUUGAGGACGNGCCGACGGACGACGACGAGGGAGGUAGG
RNAcentral lists this ribosomal RNA (665 nucleotides) under uncultured bacterium. Its description in RNAcentral is "bacterial SSU rRNA". The stretch from base 1 to 527 matches the Rfam family "Bacterial small subunit ribosomal RNA", at positions 338 to 873 of the family's 1533-position model. The record is from RNAcentral.